AAUGAACGCUGGCGGCAUGCCUAACACAUGCAAGUCGAACGAAGGCUUCGGCCUUAGUGGCGCACGGGUGCGUAACGCGUGGGAAUCUGCCCCUUGGUUCGGAAUAACAGUUAGAAAUGACUGCUAAUACCGGAUGAUGACGUAAGUCCAAAGAUUUAUCGCCGAGGGAUGAGCCCGCGUAGGAUUAGCUAGUUGGUGUGGUAAGAGCGCACCAAGGCGACGAUCCUUAGCUGGUCUGAGAGGAUGAUCAGCCACACUGGGACUGAGACACGGCCCAGACUCCUACGGGAGGCAGCAGUGGGGAAUAUUGGACAAUUGGCGAAAGCCUGAUCCAGCAAUGCCGCGUGAGUGAUGAAGGCCUUAGGGUUGUAAAGCUCUUUUACCCGGGAUGAUAAUGACAGUACCGGGAGAAUAAGCUCCGGCUAACUCCGUG
Molecule: ribosomal RNA, 433 nt
Filed under: uncultured bacterium
Lineage: Bacteria
Description: partial 16S ribosomal RNA
Rfam family: Bacterial small subunit ribosomal RNA
Source: RNAcentral